CCUACGGGAGGCUGCAGUGGGGAAUAUUGCGCAAUGGGCGAAAGCCUAACGCAGCGACGCCGCGUGAGGGAUGAAGGUCUUCGGAUCGUAAACCUCUGUCAGCAGGGAAGAACGGUCACUGUGCUAAUCAGCAGUGAAUUGACGGUACCUGCAAAGGAAGCACCGGCUAACUCCGUGCCAGCAGCCGCGGUAAUACGGAGGGUGCGAGCGUUAAUCGGAAUUACUGGGCGUAAAGCGCUCGUAGGCGGUAUGUCAAGUCAAGGGUGAAAUCCCCGCGCUCAACGUGGGAACUGCCUUUGAAACUGGCAGACUGGAGUGUGUGAGAGGAUAGUAGAAUUCCAGGUGUAGGGGUGAAAUCCGUAGAGAUCUGGAGGAACAUCAGUGGCGAAGGCGACUAUCUGGCACAUAACUGACGCUGAGGAGCGAAAGCGUGGGUAGCAAACAGGAUUAGAUACCCGUGUAGUC
This 465-nucleotide ribosomal RNA is filed under the name uncultured bacterium. RNAcentral describes it as "partial 16S ribosomal RNA". It matches the Rfam family "Bacterial small subunit ribosomal RNA", at positions 338 to 795 of the family's 1533-position model. The record is from RNAcentral.